Molecule: small RNA, 27 nt
Filed under: Bombyx mori (domestic silkworm)
Lineage: Eukaryota; Metazoa; Arthropoda; Insecta; Lepidoptera; Bombycidae
Description: ovarian small RNA-33472
Source: RNAcentral
UGCACUAGAGCCAUCGCUCGUAAAAUA